CACCAGGUCAAGGAGCCGGCAUCAGACACAACCUCAGUCCACAACGCCUAGUCUCACCACACCCCCAAGGGUCAUCAGCAGUGAUAAAUAUUGAAUAUAAGCGACAGCUUGAUUCAGUCAGAGAAAAGAGGGCCGGCCAACCCGGUGCCAGCCGCCGCGGCUACCCCGUGGGGCCCAAGUUGAAGGUCAUCGGCGUUAAGCGUGAUUAAAGUUUAUAUAGAUUAAGAUCAAAUUAAUGCUCAGUAGUUUAAAGCUCGCUAUUAAGAAGACCACAAACGAAAGUUAUCUUAACUUACAUACUUGAAUACACGACAGCCGGGAAACAAACUAGGAUUAGAUACCCUACUAUGCCCAGCCGUAAACAAUUAACUUACACCCAUAAGCGCCAGGGAACUACGAGCCACGCUUAAAACCCAAAGGAUUUGACGGUGUCCCACCCCCCUAGAGGAGCCUGUUCUAUAAUCGAUGAUCCCCGCUAUACCCCACCACCCCUUGCUCGUCAGUCUGUAUACCUCCGUCGAAAGCUUACCAUGUGAAUGUCUACAGUAAGUUCAAUGACCAUAUAAAUUGCGCCAACACGUCAGGUCAAGGUGCAGCUUAAGGAGUGGAAAGUGAUUGGCUACAAUUUCUAACCUAGAACAAACGAAAGGCCGUAUGAAAUCAUGGCCACGAAGGCGGAUUUAGUAGUAAAAAGAAAAUAGAGAUUGCACCAAACAAACUCAUAAACUUAAG
This 732-nucleotide ribosomal RNA is filed under the name Odorrana yentuensis. RNAcentral's name for it is "partial 12S ribosomal RNA". It matches the Rfam family "Bacterial small subunit ribosomal RNA", at positions 266 to 1366 of the family's 1533-position model. Lineage: Eukaryota; Metazoa; Chordata; Amphibia; Anura; Ranidae. The record is from RNAcentral.